This 72-nucleotide transfer RNA is filed under the name Petasospora fabianii. RNAcentral's name for it is "Cyberlindnera fabianii tRNA". It matches the Rfam family "tRNA". Rfam says of the family: Transfer RNA (tRNA) molecules are approximately 80 nucleotides in length. Their secondary structure includes four short double-helical elements and three loops (D, anti-codon, and T loops). The record is from Rfam by way of RNAcentral. Lineage: Eukaryota; Fungi; Ascomycota; Saccharomycetes; Phaffomycetales; Wickerhamomycetaceae.
GCACUUUUAAUUUAAUGGUUAGAAUAGUAGUUUACGAAACUAUAAAUAGGGGUUCGAAUCCCUUAGAGUGCG